Molecule: ribosomal RNA, 461 nt
Filed under: uncultured bacterium
Lineage: Bacteria
Description: partial 16S ribosomal RNA
Rfam family: Bacterial small subunit ribosomal RNA
Source: RNAcentral
CCUACGUGAGGCUGCAGUGAGGAAUAUUGGUCAAUGGGCGAGAGCCUGAACCAGCCAAGUCGCGUGAAGGAUGACGGCCCUACGGGUUGUAAACUUCUUUUGUCAGGGAGCAAUUGGGUCCACGCGAGGGCUUAGCGAGAGUACCUGAAGAACAAGCAUCGGCUAACUCCGUGCCAGCAGCCGAGGUAAUACGUAGGGGGCAAGCGUUAUCCGGAUUUACUGGGUGGAAAGGGAGCGUAGACGGUGAGACAAGUCUGAAGUGAAAGCCCGGGGCUCAACCCCGGGACUGCUUUGGAAACUGCCUGACUGGAGUGCUGGAGAGGCAAGCGGAAUUCCUAGUGUAGCGGUGAAAUGCGUAGAUAUUAGGAAGAACACCAGUGGCGAAGGCGGCUUGCUGGACAGUAACUGACGUUGAGGCUCGAAAGCGUGGGGAGCAAACAGGAUUAGAUACCCUGGUAGUC